Molecule: ribosomal RNA, 801 nt
Filed under: uncultured Ascomycota
Lineage: Eukaryota; Fungi; Ascomycota
Description: LSU rRNA
Rfam family: Eukaryotic large subunit ribosomal RNA
Source: RNAcentral
GUGAAAUUGUUGAAAGGGAAGCGCUUGCAACCAGACCUGCCUGCAGUUGCUCAUCCGUGGCUUUUGCCCGGUGCACUCUUCUGCUGUCAGGCCAGCAUCAGUUCGGGCGGUCGGAUAAAGGCUUCGGGAAUGUAGCUCCUCUCGGGGAGUGUUAUAGCCCGUUGCGAAAUGCGGCCAGCCUGGACUGAGGUCCGCGCUUCGGCUAGGAUGCUGGCGUAAUGGUUGUAAGCGGCCCGUCUUGAAACACGGACCAAGGAGUCUAACAUCUGUGCGAGUGUUUGGGUGUUAAACCCGUACGCGUAAUGAAAGUGAACGGAGGCGGGAACCCCUCGGGGUGCACCGUCGACCGAUCCUGAUGUCUUCGGAUGGAUUUGAGUAAGAGCAUAGCUGUUGGGACCCGAAAGAUGGUGAACUAUGCCUGAAUAGGGUGAAGCCAGAGGAAACUCUGGUGGAGGCUCGCAGCGGUUCUGACGUGCAAAUCGAUCGUCAAAUUUGGGCAUAGGGGCGAAAGACUAAUCGAACUAUCUAGUAGCUGGUUCCUGCCGAAGUUUCCCUCAGGAUAGCAGUAACGUUUUCAGUUUUAUGAGGUAAAGCGAAUGAUUAGAGGCCUGGGGGUUGAAACAACCUUCACCUAUUCUCAAACUUUAAAUAUGUAAGAAGUCCUUGUUGCUCAGUUGAACGUGGACAUUUGAAUGUAUCGUUACUAGUGGGCCAUUUUUGGUAAGCAGAACUGGCGAUGCGGGAUGAACCGAACGCGGAGUUAAGGUGCCGGAAUGCACGCUCAUCAGACACCACAAAAGU